This 23-nucleotide non-coding RNA is filed under the name Arabidopsis thaliana (thale cress). Lineage: Eukaryota; Viridiplantae; Streptophyta; Magnoliopsida; Brassicales; Brassicaceae. The record is from RNAcentral.
GGACAGUUUUUUUUAUGGGCCAA